Molecule: ribosomal RNA, 207 nt
Filed under: uncultured bacterium
Lineage: Bacteria
Description: partial 16S ribosomal RNA
Rfam family: Bacterial small subunit ribosomal RNA
Source: RNAcentral
UGCGUAGGUGGUGAGGUAAGUCGGAUGUGAAAUCUCGGAGCUCAACUCCGAAACGGCAUUGGAAACUACCUUGCUCGAGGGUUGGAGGGGGGACUGGAAUGCUUGGUGUAGCAGUGAAAUGCGUAGAUAUCAAGCGGAACACCAGUGGCGAAGGCGAGUCCCUGGACAACUCCUGACACUGAGGCACGAAAGCUAGGGGAGCAAACA